Molecule: RNA transcript, 2365 nt
Organism: Musa acuminata subsp. malaccensis (wild Malaysian banana)
Lineage: Eukaryota; Viridiplantae; Streptophyta; Magnoliopsida; Zingiberales; Musaceae
Gene name: transcription termination factor MTERF4, chloroplastic
Source: RefSeq, a predicted model, not a curated record
UCCUCCUCCUCCUCUCUCUCUCUCUCUCUCUCUCUCUCUCCUCCAUGAAUUUUGUAGUCCGAAGAAAACCCCCACUGUUCUCGAUCUCUCGCCCCCUUCCUCUGCUCCCAAACCCUGCCUGCCAUGCGUCGGCUGCCGGAGAGGCCUCCGCCAGCCGCCGAUCUCGCUACUCCACCGCCGUCCCCGGGGAGAAGGGAUCGCCUUCGUCGUCGUUGUCCUCCUCCUCCAAGUUCCCUGAGUACGAGCUUCCGUCGGUGACAUGGGGCGUCAUCCAGGGGCGCAAGGAGCGCCUGGUGUCGCGCGUCAUCAUCUCCGACUAUCUCAAGUCUCUGGGCAUCGCCCCCGACGAGCUCGCCGACCUCGAGCUGCCCUCCUCCGUCGACGUCAUGAGCGAGCGCGUCGACUUCCUCACCCGCCUUGGCCUCUCCGUCGAUGACCUCAACGCCUACCCGCUCCUCCUUGCUUGCAGCGUCCGCAAGAACAUGAUACCCGUCCUCGGCUACCUCGAGAAGCUCGGCGUUCCUCGUCCCCGCCUCGGCGAAUUUGUCCGCGCCUACCCUCAGGUCCUCCACGCCAGUGUCGUCGUCGAGCUCGCACCCGUCGUCAAGUUCCUCCGCGGCCUCGACGUCGAGCGAUCUGACAUCCCCUAUGUCCUCCAGCGCUAUCCGGAGCUCCUAGGCUUCAAGCCCGAGGGCACCAUGAGCACCUCCGUCGGCUACCUCGUCAGCAUCGGCCUCUGGCCCCGGGACAUCGGACCCAUGGUCACCCAAUACCCCUUCUUCCUUGGCAUGCGCGUCGGCACCACCAUCAAGCCGCUCGUUGAGUUCUUGGUGUCCCUUGGCUUCCCCAAGCGGAUCCUCGCCAAGAUGCUCGAGAAGCGACCCUACAUCCUUGGCUAUGAUCUCGAGGAGACAGUCAAGCCAAAUGUUGAUGCUCUCCUCAGUUUUGGGGUGCGCAGAGAGUCCCUGCCAUCGGUCAUCGCCCAAUUCCCCCAGAUUCUCGGACUGCCCCUCAAAGCUAAGCUCUCGACGCAGCAAUACUUCUUCAAUUUGAAACUCAAGAUAGAUCCUGAUGGGUUCACGCGGGCGAUGGAGAAGAUGCCCCAGAUUGUAAGUCUCCAUCAAAGUGUUAUGUUGAAGCCUAUCGAGUUUUUACGGGGCCGUGGCAUCCCGGAUGAGGAUGUGGCUAACAUGGUCGUCAAGUGUCCUCAGUUGCUUGCCUGUCGGGUCGAGCUUAUGAAGAAUAGCUAUUACUUCUUCAAGAGUGAGAUGAAACAGCCCGUGCAGGAGUUGUUUGAGUUCCCAGAGUACUUUACAUAUAGCCUAGAGUCCCGGAUCAAGCCAAGGUACCAGAGGCUGGUAAAUAAAGGAAUCAGAUGUAAACUGGAUUGGUUCUUGAAUUGUAGCGAUCAGAGGUUCGAGGAGAGGUUGCGGGGUGAUUAUAUUGAGGCAGAUGCCCCGGGCCCUUCUUUUGUCAUGGGUGGGAAAUUAGAAAUGCCAAGAAGCCACUUGGUCUCGGACAAAGAGGAGGAUGAAAGUGAUGAGGAAGUGCUCUACCGACGAACCAUUUCACUUUAGUAGGUCAGCUUUCUACAGUGAACUGAACUGCCUUUGGAAUAUUCAUACUUCAAGCCAUGUAUUUGAUCAUCUGUUUCUUUCACGCUUGCUGUCAAACUGCCUCCAUCAACCUCCUAUUUUCUCUAGAAAGAAAUCCACUAAGCUAGUUGUUGUAGCUGUUGUGGACUCAUUUAUUCAUUUUAGUGACAUCGUUUUGACCAAGAAAUUUGGAGUCCAAAUUAAACAAUGAGGUGCAAAAUAUUUCUGGGCCUGCCUCUGCAAGCAUUUGGUUCAGGUCAACUAAAUGGAGGAUUUAACUUAUAUGAUCUGGAAAAUCUUCCCAGUAGAAUGACUUUCAUCAAAGCAUAUACCCGUCUCCAAGGACAGAUGAAAGGCUGGAAUUGCAUGGCACAUGCUAUCAUCAGACCUGUGGUCUACUUGUCUCUGUGUAAUUAUAUUUUCAUAAUUGUAUUAUCAAAUAUGGUGCCAUUUCAUAUUGUGAGGUGGAUUUUGGUACUAAUCUCAUGAUUGUUCCCCCACCUUUUCUGGUGGAUUAUUUGUCCAUGACAAUGGCCAGGUAGCAAGUUUUACCUAAGUGUUGCUCAUCCAUGAAGGCUUCAUCCUGGUUGGUGUUUACCCAUAUGGAGUCUGGUACAAAGUUAGAAUGCAAAUAAGAAUUUUCGGUGGAUUUUUGGUAGUUGAUUUUUUUUUUUUUUUUUUUCGGUCAGUUGUGUUUUCAUAACAUAUUGAGUGUGUUGAGGUCCUACAAUUGGACAGCUAUUUCUAUAGAGUUCAUUAUAAGUUAUCUA